This 327-nucleotide ribosomal RNA is filed under the name uncultured soil bacterium. Its description in RNAcentral is "bacterial SSU rRNA". It matches the Rfam family "Bacterial small subunit ribosomal RNA", at positions 26 to 353 of the family's 1533-position model. The record is from RNAcentral.
AGAUUGAACGCUGGCGGAAUGCUUUACACAUGCAAGUCGAGCGGCAGCGCGGGGGCAACCCUGGCGGCGAGCGGCGAACGGGUGAGUAAUCGAUCGGAACGUAUCCUGUAAUGGGGGAUAGCUCGGCGAAAGCCGGAUUAAUACCGCAUACGCUCUCAGGAGGAAAGUGGGGGAUCCGCAAGGACCUCACGUUAGAGGAGCGGCCGAUCGCUGAUUAGCUAGUUGGUGGGGUAAGGGCCCACCAAGGCGAUGAUCAGUAGCUGGUCUGAGAGGAUGAUCAGCCACACUGGGACUGAGACACGGCCCAGACUCCGUACGGGAGCAGCA